AUUUAUCGGUAAUUUAUAUAAAAACGUUGUUUUUUCGAUUCCGGUUUAGGAAUAAAUAAAAUCGAAAUUGCGGUUUUUUUAUUAUCCGUUUAAUAAAAUCGAUUUUCAAAAAUUCGUCGAUGGUUUUUUUUUCCAAUUCCAUUAUUGCGAAAAAGGUCGAAUAACGGGCUAGUUUUUUUUCCAAAAAUUUUUCAAAUUCCAAAAUUAUAUCGAAACCGGCUCGGUUAAAUAGAAAAAUUGUCGACGUUUUUUUGGAAAAUUUUUUUUUUAAAAUGGGCAAAUAUUUUGGGUAAUUUGGCUCGUAUUUGCGCAAUAUAUUCCGGAUUUUCGUUUAUAAAAAAUAAAAUAAAACGUUUAUUAUCAAUUUUAUUUUAUUAUAAAAUUAAUACCGUAUUUAAAUUGGUUAUAAAUGUAUUAUUUAUUGGUAUUAAUAAUAUAAAUUCCGUGGGUAACGGGGAUUAUUUCCAUCGAUUUUAACGUGGAUUAUUAAAAAGGGCACAAAUAUUUGCUGGCAGGGUUUUGUUGGAAACGGUUUUUGGAAUAAUUGGAAAAACGUUAAUUUUUGCAAUUUAAAUCUGGUUUCCGUAUUGGCGUUUAGGGUUUUAAAAUAUUUUGCGGACUUAAAUGCGACGGUUUUUUUAUUCCAUUUUGCGAUUCCGGCGAAUUGCGUUAAUUUGGGUUUCGAAAUCCAAAAACGGAUUUACACGUUAUACGAUAAUUACCGGUAAAUAUUAAAUUAUAACGGGCAAAUUAUUAAACCAAACUAAAUUACGGAUAAUUAAAAAUAAAUUUAUUCGAUAUUUCGUCCAUUAUUUUUAUCCGAUAAAUAUAUUAUAUACCGUUUCGAGGAAAAUAAAUUUUUGUCGUGGAAAUUAUUAUCCGUCGAUUUGCAAAAUAAACCGAAAAUAUUCGGUGGUUUUUGCGGUAGUUUUCCUAUUAAAAUUUCCAAAAUUUAAAGGUUUGGGGGAUUUUUUAAUGGGUAAUCUUAAACGUUGGGCGGUUUUUUUCGCGAAAUUCGGUCGGAUAAAUAAAUAUAUAUUUGUUCCGAUAUUAUAAAAAAUUUAGGCGUUAAAAUUACAAUUUUUAUUUUGCAAUCGAAUAGGAAUAAAAGAAAUAUUUAAUUUAGGUAAUUUAUUAAUUUUAAUUAUUUGAAAUACGCAAAUUACCGAGGAAAUUUCCGGCAAUUUUAGCAAUUUUCCAAAUUCGACGAAAAUAAAUUAUAGCCGGAUCGUUUACAAAUUUUUCGAUCGUUUUUAUAUUAAAAGGUAAAAACGGCGGCGAUAUAAACGGCCUUUUGGGGGCAAUUGCGUACCAAAUACCCGGUUCUUUUGCAAAAAAAACAUUUACUUUUAAUAAUUAAUUUCGCGUUUUUUUUGCUGGGCGAUUUCGGGGCGUUAAUAAUUUAUAUACGGGUUUGGUUUUUGGUUUUUUGGUUAUACCGGCGAUUUUCGCGUCGACGUUAUUUGCGUUCGGCGUUGGUUAAACGUUUACGGCGUUUUCCUUUUUUUUGCAAUUUUCGCGGAAUUUCUCCCAAACGCGUUAUUGGACCAACGUCGAAUUUGCAAUUUUUCCGGCAAAGAUUUUGUACGAAAUAUUUGGGUUUUUAAAUAGGUUAAAAAAUUGGGGGUUUAAAUUAGUAAAAAUAUAUUUAUUAUAAUAUUUGGACUAUAAGAUUACCAGACCCUAAUUCUAACCCUGGACCAACGACCCACCAGGGUAAUACUUUUAUCGACGUUACUUCAAAUUUAAAAUUUUGUUUGUUUUUUUUCCUCUCCUCAAAAUAAAAUUUUCGUCGAUAAAUACCAAUAGAUUAAUUUCCGUAUUAUAUUUACCCCGGGCCGUAAUACAAUUUUAUUUUCAAAGAAAUCGCUGGUUUAACAAUUAAUAAAUAAGGCGCAAUAAAUUAUUUUUACGCCGUUGGCGAACGACGAAAAUAAAUCCGCAUUUAACAAACCAAACCCGACCGGAAAUUAACAAAAACGUUAAUUUUAAACCCAAACCGACCCCAAUUUAUAUCCAGGUUAAAAAAUUAUCCAUUUGCAAACAAAAAAUUACAAAAAUUAAUUUCGAAUAAAACGAAACAAACAAAUCGCUUUAUUAAUAACCCGACCCGAUUAAAAAAUUAAACCGAUUUUACGCCAAAUACCAAUUCCACCUUCGAAAACGAAAUCGAAAUUAAUCUUUUUUCGAAUACCGCGUGGUUUAAUAUAAAAACGCCCGAGGAAAAUUUAAACGAAUUUAAAUUUGCAAAAACAAAAUAUAUAACGCCGGAAAUAAGCCCCAAUAUAAUAGCAGACGAAAAUAAUUUAACCAGCGAAAUUAUUAGGUUAUAGGCAAUUAUUAUACGCCUGCAAACCGAACGACAAAAUAACCAACCGGAAACCCGGUAAUCUAUACCCGAAAAUAACGUUUUUGGAAAUACCAGGUUCGAACCGACCGGCCUAACCAGCAGGAAAAUAUUUAAACCGUACGGCCAUAAUUAAAAAAUAACCAACCCGCAUUACAGCGAAAAAACCAAAAAUAAAAAAUUAAAUCCAAAUAUAUUUUUCGGCAAUUUAACCAUUUUUGACCGCUGGAUUACGGAAUUAGCAAAUUAUUUCAAAAAAAAUAAUAUAAUUUUCCGAAUUAAAUAAAACCGUAUGGUAAAAUUGUUUAACUUAUUGGACGACCGACCAGCAACGAUAUUAAAAACCAAAUAUAAUUUAAAAACCCAACCGUAUUUAUACGUGGUAAAAAUAAUCCAGGUUUUGGCCACGGUAUAUUAUAAUAGUAAUUAAACGUCCGAAAUAUGGGAAAAAUUAUUGAAAAUAUAUUUUAAAUGCGGAUUAGGUAAUAACGUUUAUAAUUUUAUUGCGGAAAUAAAUAAUUUCGCCGAUAAAAUUGGAAUACCAGCAGGAAAACGCAAAAUUAUAUUAUAAUAAUAUAUCCCGGCAAAUUUCGAUUACCGGCUAUUACGAAAUAGCAAAAACCCCAAAAUAUCUUAUAAAAAAUUCGCAAAUUUGGUGGCCGAUGCAAUUUAUAAUAUUUAACAAGCGUAUCGGGAACGAGAAAAGCGAAAAUAAAAAAAUCGCAAUAAAAAUAAAAAAGAAAAAUACCCCUAUAACCUAAAUAAAAAUAGGAAAAGCAAUCGAGAACGUUAUUACGAAUUUAGCAACCCGAACAAAAGAAAAAAAAAACGAUAUAAUAUUUAAAAUAACAAAAACCACAGGACGUGGUUUGACAAAAAUUAAAAAAAUGGUUUAUUGGGAAAUUAACAUUUGUUUCGCGUGCGGGAAAAAAGGAUAUAAAUUAUUUAAAUGCCCCAAUAAAACGAAAACAGUUAGGAUUUUAAAUUUUAAAAACAACCAUAAUAUUAAUAACGAGUAAAAGCGAUCGGGAAAAAAGUAAAACCGCCAAAAACCUUUUCGGUAAUCCAAAUAUUUACGAUAAUUUAAAUUAAUAAUAAUCCACGAUUUAAAUUUUUUAUUAUUCGAAUUUAAAUAUAGGUUAAUAGCGUAAUAUUAUUAAUUAAAAAUUUUUAUAAUACCGGAACAAAUAUUUCUUUUUUAAUUAAUUUAACAAUCGUUAAAUAAACCGCAGAAUGGUUAGAAACCCGGUUUUAAAAGUUAAAAACCCCGUUAUUUUUAUCGGAUUACCGCAAAUAGGACGCAAAACGUAUUACAUAUAAAUUAAAAGCGAUUUUGGAAAUUAAUGGAUGUCGGUUUAAUAACCAAAUAUUUUACAUAACGGAAAAUAAAUAUAAUAUAUUUAUUGGCCAAAAUUGGUUAAUUAAAUAAAAUGUUUGGAUCCACCCGAAAACGCAAACGUUCGUAUAAUUUAAAAUAAUAUUAUUAUUGGUAAAAUUUUCGCCAAUUAUUAAAUUUCCAAAUAUAUU
Molecule: small RNA, 3874 nt
Filed under: Pyricularia oryzae
Lineage: Eukaryota; Fungi; Ascomycota; Sordariomycetes; Magnaporthales; Pyriculariaceae
Description: Magnaporthe oryzae sRNA M_BR32_EuGene_00132881
Source: RNAcentral